Molecule: transfer RNA, 73 nt
Filed under: Camelus bactrianus (Bactrian camel)
Lineage: Eukaryota; Metazoa; Chordata; Mammalia; Artiodactyla; Camelidae
Also listed under: 2 other names
Rfam family: tRNA
About the family: Transfer RNA (tRNA) molecules are approximately 80 nucleotides in length. Their secondary structure includes four short double-helical elements and three loops (D, anti-codon, and T loops). Further hydrogen bonds mediate the characteristic L-shaped molecular structure. tRNAs have two regions of fundamental functional importance: the anti-codon, which is responsible for specific mRNA codon recognition, and the 3' end, to which the tRNAs corresponding amino acid is attached (by aminoacyl-tRNA synthetases). tRNAs cope with the degeneracy of the genetic code in two manners: having more than one tRNA (with a specific anti-codon) for a particular amino acid; and 'wobble' base-pairing, i.e. permitting non-standard base-pairing at the 3rd anti-codon position.
Source: Rfam by way of RNAcentral
GAGGGUAUAGCUCAAAUGGUAGAGCACUUGCUUAGCAUGCAUGAGGUCCUGGGUUCAAUCCCCAGUACCUCCU